Molecule: ribosomal RNA, 347 nt
Filed under: uncultured bacterium
Lineage: Bacteria
Description: partial 16S ribosomal RNA
Rfam family: Bacterial small subunit ribosomal RNA
Source: RNAcentral
CCUACGGGUGGCAGCAGUGAGGAAUAUUGGUCAAUGGGCGCGAGCCUGAACCAGCCAAGUAGCGUGAAGGAUGAAUGCCCUACGGGUUGUAAACUUCUUUUAUAAAGGAAUAAAGUGAGGCACGUGUGCCUUAUUGUAUGUACGUUAUGAAUAAGGAUCGGCUAACGCCGUGCCAGCAGCAGCGGUAAGACGGCGGAUCCGAGCGUUAUCCGGAUUUAUUGGGUUUAAAGGGAGCGUAGAGGGGUUGUUAUGUCAGUUGUGAAAGUUUGCGGCUCAACCGUAAAAUUGCAAUUGAUACUGGCAGUCUUGAGUACAGUUGAGGUCGGCGGAUUUCGUGGUGUAGCGGU